Jaculus jaculus (lesser Egyptian jerboa) is the source of this 107-nucleotide small nuclear RNA. The record is from Ensembl. Lineage: Eukaryota; Metazoa; Chordata; Mammalia; Rodentia; Dipodidae.
GUGCUUACUUCAGCAAUGCAUAUACUAAACCUGGAAUAAUACAGAGAAGGUUAGCAUGGCCUCUGUAUGAGGAUGACAUGCAAAUUCAUGAAGAGUUCCAUAUUUGG